GCGGAGCAGCAGUGGGUUUGCGAGAUGUUUACUGGUGCCGACGAUGUACGUGCGCAUAUAUUCUGCUCUGAUAGAUUUUGCAUGUGACAACGGUUAUCUCUGCGUCGAGAAGGUUGGAGAGGAUAUCCCAAAGACGACAGCUGCGGAAUUCGAUGAACAUGACAGGAAUCUGCUUGUAGAAGGUGCACGGUGUUUAUAUAAAGCAGUGCCGAACAUGGAUGUGGGACGGCAUCUGGCACUGUACUUUCGAAAAAUAUCUGGUUAAGUAAGUGCAAGUGGUAUGAAUAAAGUACUAAAAAAUGGC
Long non-coding RNA from Ornithodoros turicata, 304 nucleotides. RefSeq lists it as uncharacterized. The transcript is spliced from 4 exons. The record is from RefSeq and is a predicted model, not a curated record. Lineage: Eukaryota; Metazoa; Arthropoda; Arachnida; Ixodida; Argasidae.